UUGACCUAAACAUAUCUAUAAUAAAUGUUUAUUCAUAAUUUUUUUAUUCAUAACAGAAAUCGUUAUACUGUAUAUAUAAAUGUAUAGUAAUAAUAUGAUAGUUAGGUAAUUACUAAUAUCAAUAAUUAUUAACACAUUCAUUUGUAGGAUUCUAUGUUAUAUAAUUUAGACAGUAAUAAUAUUAACAUGAUACAUGAUAGGUAGUUAUUUUUUUAAUAUGAAUAUUGUACUAAUAUCAUUAAUUAUUAUAUUAGUAUCACUAUUAUACUAAGGCAACUUAUAUGAAUCAGAGAUGUAAAAUUCAAGUCAUUUGGAUUAAUUUAAAACUCACUAAACAUGGUUUGAAGUAAAGCUAAAAACAAAAAAUAACAUAGCAAAUGGUUAUCAAAGCUAAAGCUUUAGACAGAAUCGACUCGAACAACUCGUUCACGGGUACGUAUUUCAACUCGUGGAAUUUUAGAUUUCUUCCAAAAACUGUCCAUUGAAUCUGCAGUAUCAGCCAUCUCAUCAUCAGGCUGUGGAUCAUCUUCGGAAGCUCCAUGAUCGCUGCUGACAUUGAUAACAUCUUCCCAAUUCCAGUUGGCAAGAGACUCCAACCUUUUGUUUAGCUUGUCACACUUCCGUUUCUAAGAUAACAACAAUUUAAAAAAAUAAUGUGGACAUAAGAAACGAAAUAUAUAACACUGCUGUAAUGCAGAUUUACCUGCUCACUGAUUUCACGUAGAAUUUCUGAAGCGGUUGGGCUUGACUCUCCAUCCCAUUUUAUUAUCUCAACACUUUUGGCAGGUUUCUAUAAAAUCAAUGCCUUAUUAGAUAUCACUUAUACAGAUUUUUACAAAAUAAACAUGAAUUUUGAAUAUGUUUACUUACAUGUGAUUCGAGGUGUUGCUGCUCGUCGACUUCUGGAUCAUACUUUUCAACUCGGUAAUUCAAGGUGUUGCUGUUCUUUCUCUUUGGUUUUGGGAUCAAUUUUUUCAACUCGGUUCUAAAAUUCACGUUUUGCAGGUUCUAAAAUUCACAUUUUUUGUUUACUGUUUUAAAAUACACGUUUUUUGUUUACAGGUCUAAAUUUGUUCAGAUAGAUUUUGUAAUUUCAUGGUUUAUGUUUCCAAUUAAAUUUCCACAUAUUUAGGUCAGUUAUUUUAGAUAGAUCGUGGGGUCUAUUUUUCCCAAAAUUUAGUAUGAGAAAGUCAAACUGGACAAAAAAACCUCCCCUUGUUUUUCUGAAUUAUAAGGGUCAGG
Helianthus annuus (common sunflower) is the source of this 1242-nucleotide long non-coding RNA. RefSeq lists it as uncharacterized. Lineage: Eukaryota; Viridiplantae; Streptophyta; Magnoliopsida; Asterales; Asteraceae. The record is from RefSeq and is a predicted model, not a curated record. The transcript has 3 exons.